AGAGCGAACGCUGGCGGCGUGCUUAACACAUGCAAGUCGAACGCGCAGCAUUCUGUAGCAAUACAGGGUGUGGGCGCGUGGCAGACGGGUGCGUAACACGUGGAUAACCUUCCUUCAGGUGGGGAAUAACCCAGUGAAAAUUGGGCUAAUACCGCAUAACAAAACGAGGGCACAUGCUCUUGUUUUCAAAGGCGCAAGUCGCCAGAAGAGGGAUCCGCGGCCGAUUAGCUUGUUGGCGGGGUAAUGGCCCACCAAGGCAUUGAUCGGUAGCCGGACUGAGAGGUUGGCCGGCCACACUGGAACUGAGACACGGUCCAGACUCCUACGGGAGGCAGCAGUGGGGAAUCUUGCACAAUGGACGAAAGUCUGAUGCAGCAACGCCGCGUGGGGGAUGAAGCUUCUCGGAGUGUAAACCCCUUUCGACCCGGAAGAAUGCCCGCAAGGGUUUGACGGUACGGGUAUAAGGAAGCCCCGGCUAACUACGUGCCAGCAGCCGCGGUAAU
Molecule: ribosomal RNA, 503 nt
Filed under: uncultured bacterium
Lineage: Bacteria
Description: SSU rRNA
Rfam family: Bacterial small subunit ribosomal RNA
Source: RNAcentral